Molecule: non-coding RNA, 148 nt
Filed under: pig gut metagenome
Source: RNAcentral
CCUGAUAUGGGAUAAUAGGGAAGUUGAGUGAGAGUCUCACACGGUCACGCCGCUGUAUGGGAGGAAUUGUAUUUUACAACGUCACUGGGAAACCGGGAAGACAAAAUACAGUGUUGAUACCUAAGUCAGAAGACCUGCCUUGUGCAUA